GACGAACGCUGGCGGCGUGCUUAACACAUGCAAGUCGAACGGAAAGGCCCUGCCUUUGUGGGGUGCUCGAGUGGCGAACGGGUGAGUAACACGUGAGUAACCUGCCCUUGACUUUGGGAUAACUUCAGGAAACUGCGGCUAAUACCGGAUAGGAGCUCCUGCUGCAUGGGGGGGGUUGGAAAGUUUCGGCGGUUGGGGAUGGACUCGCGGCUUAUCAGCUUGUUGGUGGGGUAGUGGCUUACCAAGGCUUUGACGGGUAGCCGGCCUGAGAGGGUGACCGGCCACACUGGGACUGAGACACGGCCCAGACUCCUACGGGAGGCAGCAGUGGGGAAUAUUGCACAAUGGGCGGAAGCCUGAUGCAGCAACGCCGCGUGCGGGAUGACGGCCUUCGGGUUGUAAACCGCUUUCGCCAGGGAAGAAGCGUGAGUGACGGUAAUGGGUAAAGAAGCACCGGCUAACUACGUG
RNAcentral lists this ribosomal RNA (468 nucleotides) under uncultured bacterium. RNAcentral describes it as "partial 16S ribosomal RNA". It matches the Rfam family "Bacterial small subunit ribosomal RNA", at positions 28 to 507 of the family's 1533-position model. The record is from RNAcentral.